UACAGAGGGGGCCAGCGUUAUUCGGAAUUAUUGGGCGUGAAGGGCGCGUAGGCGGCCAUGCGUGUCUUCCGUGAAAUCCCUCGGCUUAACCGAGGACGUGCGGAAGAAACUGCAAGGCUCGAGUCCGGAAGAGGGGGGCGGAAUUCCCAGUGUAGCGGUGAAAUGCGUAGAUAUUGGGAGGAACACCAGUGGCGAAGGCGGUCCCCUGGGCCGGAACUGACGCUGAGGCGCGAAAGCGUGGGUAGCAAACGGG
This 253-nucleotide ribosomal RNA is filed under the name uncultured bacterium. RNAcentral's name for it is "partial 16S ribosomal RNA". It matches the Rfam family "Bacterial small subunit ribosomal RNA", at positions 524 to 776 of the family's 1533-position model. The record is from RNAcentral.